Dipodomys ordii (Ord's kangaroo rat) is the source of this 72-nucleotide non-coding RNA. The record is from Rfam. Lineage: Eukaryota; Metazoa; Chordata; Mammalia; Rodentia; Heteromyidae.
GGGAAGGUGGCUCAGUGGUAGAGUGCUUGCCUCACAUUCAUGAGGCCUUGGGUUCGAUUCCUCAGCACCCCA